AUUGAACGCUGGCGGCAGGCCUAACACAUGCAAGUCGAGCGAGCGGCGGACGGGUGAGUAAUGCCUAGUCAACUGCCCGUUAGAGGGGGAUAACCACUGGAAACGGUCUCUAAUCCCGCAUACUCUCCGAUGACCCUAGAUCGGAUUAGCGAGUUGGUGGGGUAAAGGCUAACCUAGGCGACGAUCCCUAACUGGUCUGAGAGGAUGCUCAGUCACACUGGAACUGAGACACGGUCCAGACUCCUACGGGAGGCAGCAGUGGGGAAUAUUGCACAAUGGGCGCAAGCCUGAUGCAGCCAUGCCGCGUGUGUGAAGAAGGCCUUCGGGUUGUAAAGCACUUUAAGCGGGGAGGCGUUACCCGCAGAAGAAGCACCGGCUAACUCCGUGCCAGCAGCCGCGGUAAUUC
This 406-nucleotide ribosomal RNA is filed under the name uncultured bacterium. RNAcentral describes it as "partial 16S ribosomal RNA". It matches the Rfam family "Bacterial small subunit ribosomal RNA", at positions 30 to 526 of the family's 1533-position model. The record is from RNAcentral.